GGGAUAGACGUGGAUUCGACAGGCUUUAUGAAGUUGUAACGGCAUGCCAUGGUUGCGCAUGUAAAAACGCCGAGGUAAAAUUAACUGCAAACCAAAAUUACGCUUUAGCAGCUUAAUUAGUUAAACAGCUGCGCUUGUGACGAGGUCUCCCUCAAGCCUUGUCAACAGGCUCAGACAUUGAGGGUUGAAUCAAAAAAGCGCCUCGGUUUUUGAUUCGAGAUCCAGAGGCUAGUUCAGCGAUGUUUUGUUCUUUGUACAUCGCUGGAUGAAAUCCGAACAAAGGACUAAGCAUGUAGAAGUUAUGAUGGAUUAAAGUUUGGACAGGGGUUCGACUCCCCUCUAUUCCACCA
RNAcentral lists this transfer-messenger RNA (350 nucleotides) under Acholeplasmataceae bacterium. It matches the Rfam family "transfer-messenger RNA". From Rfam's summary of the family: Bacterial tmRNA, also known as 10Sa RNA or SsrA, is named for its dual tRNA and mRNA-like properties. Its role is to liberate the mRNA from a stalled ribosome. Lineage: Bacteria; Bacillati; Mycoplasmatota; Mollicutes; Acholeplasmatales; Acholeplasmataceae. The record is from RNAcentral.